This is a long non-coding RNA of Manduca sexta (tobacco hornworm), 750 nucleotides long. RefSeq lists it as uncharacterized. NCBI's taxonomy places the organism in Eukaryota, Metazoa, Arthropoda, Insecta, Lepidoptera, Sphingidae. The record is from RefSeq and is a predicted model, not a curated record. The transcript has 2 exons.
UUUUAUGAGUAUAGCAACACCACCAUACCCAUCUGAUCUAUCUUCUCGAAUGCAUGAAUAACCAGGAAUUCGAAAACAAAAUCCCGGUCUAAGCCAUGUCUCACUUAAAACUACUAAACUAGGGCUAUAUUUGUUUAAUAAAUAAAUUAAAUCUGAUUUAUUUUGAAUUGCACUUCGGCAAUUCCAUUGUAGGAUGUUGUUCAAGUGAGCCAUUGUUACUGAUUAAUUGUGUUAUCUUUUUAAAUAAUGGGGCAACGUAGGACGGUAAAGUGGUUUGUGACAAUGAUUCAAUUAGAAAAAUAACUAAAUCAAUCAAAGGCUGAGACUCUAACGAAGAAGAGUUGAGAUCGUCUGCUUUGGAAGGGAGAGCACAUCCAUUGGAAUAAGAAUGCGAGUUGUAGUCACUCACUAGAGCUUGAUGAGCUGCGCGGUCAUACCCUUUUCCUGGCUUCAGAGGAGGACGGGGCUUCUGGAAAACAGUUUUCUUAUAAGAUUUGUUAUGUGGUGAUUGAGUAAAUGGAUAUUUAAAAUCUUCAGUUCCCGCAUUAAGAGAAGAUUUUACAAAUUCUAUGCAGACGUGCCCGUUUUCUUUUAUUUACAUUGGAUGUUGAACAAUCAGUAUCCAUACUAGAGGCAGUAUCUACAGUUAUGAACUGUGAAGGUUCAGGAACAACACCCCCAGGGUCUGGGGGCUCCUUCAUCCUGCUCAUAAUAUAUUAAAUUUUAUUAAAAAAAAAAAACUUACCAAUA